UACGAAGGGGGCUAGCGUUGUUCGGAAUUACUGGGCGUAAAGCGCGCGCAGGCGGUCUUCCAAGUCAGUGGUGAAAGCCCGGAGCUCAACUCCGGAACUGCCAUUGAAACUGUGAGACUGGAGUACGAGAGAGGUGAGUGGAAUUCCCAGUGUAGAGGUGAAAUUCGUAGAUAUUGGGAAGGACACCGGUGGCGAAGGCGGCUCACUGGCUCGUAACUGACGCUCAGGCGCGACAGCGUGGGGAUCAAACAGG
This 253-nucleotide ribosomal RNA is filed under the name uncultured bacterium. RNAcentral's name for it is "partial 16S ribosomal RNA". It matches the Rfam family "Bacterial small subunit ribosomal RNA", at positions 524 to 776 of the family's 1533-position model. The record is from RNAcentral.